GACGAACGCUGGCGGCGUGCCUAAUACAUGCAAGUUGAGCGCUGAAGGUUGGUACUUGUACCGACUGGAUGAGCAGCGAACGGGUGAGUAACGCGUGGGGAAUCUGCCUUUGAGCGGGGGACAACAUUUGGAAACGAAUGCUAAUACCGCAUAAAAACUUUAAACACAAGUUUUAAGUUUGAAAGAUGCAAUUGCAUCACUCAAAGAUGAUCCCGCGUUGUAUUAGCUAGUUGGUGAGGUAAAGGCUCACCAAGGCGAUGAUACAUAGCCGACCUGAGAGGGUGAUCGGCCACAUUGGGACUGAGACACGGCCCAAACUCCUACGGGUGGCAGCAGUAGGGAAUCUUCGGCAAUGGACGAAAGUCUGACCGAGCAACGCCGCGUGAGUGAAGAAGGUUUUCGGAUCGUAAAACUCUGUUGGUAGAGAAGAACGUUGGUGAGAGUGGAAAGCUCAUCAAGUGACGGUAACUACCCAGAAAGGGACGGCUAACUACGUG
RNAcentral lists this ribosomal RNA (497 nucleotides) under uncultured bacterium. RNAcentral's name for it is "partial 16S ribosomal RNA". It matches the Rfam family "Bacterial small subunit ribosomal RNA", at positions 28 to 507 of the family's 1533-position model. The record is from RNAcentral.